This 444-nucleotide ribosomal RNA is filed under the name uncultured bacterium. RNAcentral describes it as "bacterial SSU rRNA". It matches the Rfam family "Bacterial small subunit ribosomal RNA", at positions 331 to 793 of the family's 1533-position model. The record is from RNAcentral.
CCAGACUCCUACGGGAGGCAGCAGUAGGGAAUUUUGCGCAAUGGGCGAAAGCCUGACGCAGCAACGCCGCGUGAUCGAGACGCCCUUCGGGGUGUAAAGAUCUGUCAGUGGGGACGAAACUUGACGGUACCCACAGAGGAAGCACCGGCUAACUCCGUGCCAGCAGCCGCGGUAAUACGGAGGAUGCGAGCGUUAUCCGGAUUUAUUGGGUUUAAAGGGUGCGCAGGCGGAAGAUCAAGUCAGCGGUAAAAUUGGGAGGCUCAACCUCUUCGAGCCGUUGAAACUGGUUUUCUUGAGUGAGCGAGAAGUAUGCGGAAUGCGUGGUGUAGCGGUGAAAUGCAUAGAUAUCACGCAGAACUCCGAUUGCGAAGGCAGCAUACCGGCGCUCAACUGACGCUCAUGCACGAAAGUGUGGGUAUCGAACAGGAUUAGAUACCCCAGUAU